Long non-coding RNA from Mesocricetus auratus (golden hamster), 814 nucleotides. RefSeq lists it as uncharacterized. The transcript has 4 exons. The record is from RefSeq and is a predicted model, not a curated record. Lineage: Eukaryota; Metazoa; Chordata; Mammalia; Rodentia; Cricetidae.
CAUUUUUAGAACAAGUCUCAUGGUAUAGUCCAGGCUUCUCUGGAAUUCACUAUGUAGUCGAGGUUGGCCUCAGAUUCACAGCAACCCUCCUGCCUUAACUUCCCUGGUGCUGGAUUUACAGACUGUAUCCACAACAGUGUGAAGCCAGGCCGGACAAAGAGUACCCAACUUCAUAACCUAAAGGAUCUUGACCAGAGCGAAUGGAACUCAACGCAGCCGGGUGGAACCGGCUGGGCCUGCUGAAGCUCAGGUCCUGGACACCAGGGGGAGCCAGAGGCAGCAUAGCGGUGCUGUGAUAGGCGUAAGCGAGGCCUCUUUCCAGAUUGCUCCAAACCUAAGACACAGACAGCUCCUCUGCCCAAGGAGGCUCCUGGUCUGGCAUCAGCUACAUAUGACAGCUUUGCAGCCCUCACUGCCCGCCCGUCCCAGCAGCAGGACCCCCACCCAAAUCCCUGGCUGGAUUCGAACUCUUUAAGAUGGAGACCAGGAUUAAUUCACCAAUGUGUUCUUUCCAAACUUUUUUUGGUUUUGGUCAUGGUGGUACACAGCCUGGUAAGAUUCAGUCACAUUAAAUUAGAGCUCAUCAAAGAGAAAUAAGUCUGCAAAUAAGGAAAACAAGCAGGGAGUCGGGAGAUGAUGGCACCAAGCACUAAAACAGCCAGAGAGGAGCCGAUUGGUUUGUUUGUUUUUUAAUGUACAAAUGAAAACACCAGUGUCAGGAACUUAGAUUGGUGGUAGUCUUUUUAGCAGAGGUCCUAGGCUCAAUCCCCAGCCCUGGAAAAAGAUAAAAUAAAGUGCAUACUCUUUACGACAA